Molecule: ribosomal RNA, 477 nt
Filed under: uncultured bacterium
Lineage: Bacteria
Description: bacterial SSU rRNA
Rfam family: Bacterial small subunit ribosomal RNA
Source: RNAcentral
GACGAACGCUGGCGGCGUGCCUAAAACAUGCAAGUCGAACGGGGUCCAUCCUUCGGGAGAAGACCUAGUGGCGAACGGGUGAGUAACACGUGAGAAACCUGCCUCGAAGUCUGGGAUAAGCCAGGGAAACUUGGUCUAAUACCGGAUACCUUCACAACUUCUUCUGUUGAUGUGAAGAAAGUUUUUCGCUUCGAGAGGGUCUCGCGUCCUAUCAGCUUGUUGGUGGGGUAACGGCCUACCAAGGCUUCGACGGGUAGCUGGUCUGAGAGGAUGAUCAGCCACACUGGGACUGAGACACGGCCCAGACUCCUACGGGAGGCAGCAGUUAGGAAUCUUGCGCAAUGGGCGAAAGCCUGACGCAGCAACGCCGCGUGAGGGAUGAAUGCUUUCGGGUUGUAAACCUCUUUCAGUAGGAACGAAAUUGACGGUACCUACAGAAGAAGCUCCGGCCAACUACGUGCCAGCAGCCGCAGUAAG